UCGAGCGGUAGAGAGAAGCUUGCUUUUCUUGAGUAGCGGCGGACGGGUGAGUAAUGCCUAGGAAUCUGCCUGGUAGUGGGGGAUAACGUUCGGAAACGAACGCUAAUACCGCAUACGUCCUACGGGAGAAAGCAGGGGACCUUCGGGCCUUGCGCUAUCAGAUGAGCCUAGGUCGGAUUAGCUAGUUGGUGAGGUAAUGGCUCACCAAGGCGACGAUCCGUAACUGGUCUGAGAGGAUGAUCAGUCACACUGGAACUGAGACACGGUCCAGACUCCUACGGGAGGCAGCAGUGGGGAAUAUUGGACAAUGGGCGAAAGCCUGAUCCAGCCAUGCCGCGUGUGUGAAGAAGGUCUUCGGAUUGUAAAGCACUUAAAGUUGGGAGGAAGGGCAUUAACCUAAUACGUUAGUGUUUUGACGUUACCGACAGAAUAAGCACCGGCUAACUCUGUGCCAGCAGCCGCGGUAAUACAGAGGGUGCAAGCGUUAAUCGGAAUUACUGGGCGUAAAGCGCGCGUAGGUGGUUUGUUAAGUUGGAUGUGAAAUCCCCGGGCUCAACCUGGGAACUGCAUUCAAAACUGACUGACUAGAGUAUGGUAGAGGGUGGUGGAAUUUCCUGUGUAGCGGUGAAAUGCGUAGAUAUAGGAAGGAACACCAGUGGCGAAGGCGACCACCUGGACUAAUACUGACACUGAGGUGCGAAAGCGUGGGGAGCAAAC
RNAcentral lists this ribosomal RNA (717 nucleotides) under Pseudomonas sp. BG.Sph.054. Its description in RNAcentral is "bacterial SSU rRNA". It matches the Rfam family "Bacterial small subunit ribosomal RNA", at positions 62 to 773 of the family's 1533-position model. Lineage: Bacteria; Pseudomonadati; Pseudomonadota; Gammaproteobacteria; Pseudomonadales; Pseudomonadaceae. The record is from RNAcentral.